UGGGGAAUAUUGCACAAUGGGCGAAAGCCUGAUGCAGCAACGCCGCGUGAGUGAUGAAGGUCUUCGGAUUGUAAAGCUCUGUCUUUUGGGACGAUAAUGACGGUACCAAAGGAGGAAGCCACGGCUAACUACGUGCCAGCAGCCGCGGUAAUACGUAGGUGGCGAGCGUUGUCCGGAUUUACUGGGCGUAAAGGGUGCGUAGGCGGAUGUUUAAGUGAGAUGUGAAAUACCCGGGCUUAACUUGGGUGCUGCAUUUCAAACUGGAUAUCUAGAGUGCAGGAGAGGAGAAUGGAAUUCCUAGUGUAGCGGUGAAAUGCGUAGAGAUUAGGAAGAACACCAGUGGCGAAGGCGAUUCUCUGGACUGUAACUGACGCUGGGCAGCGAAGCAGUGGGUAGCAAACAGGAUUAGAUACCCUGGUAGUCCACGCCGUAAACGAUGAGUACUAGGUGUAGGAGGUAUCGACCCCUUCUGUGCCGCAGUAAACACAUUAAGUACUCCGCCUGGGAAGUACGAUCGCAAGAUUAAAACUCUAAAGUGAAUUGACGGGGUC
This 551-nucleotide ribosomal RNA is filed under the name uncultured bacterium. Its description in RNAcentral is "partial 16S ribosomal RNA". It matches the Rfam family "Bacterial small subunit ribosomal RNA", at positions 355 to 920 of the family's 1533-position model. The record is from RNAcentral.